This 69-nucleotide transfer RNA is filed under the name Ctenochauliodes punctulatus. RNAcentral's name for it is "tRNA-Gln". The record is from RNAcentral. Lineage: Eukaryota; Metazoa; Arthropoda; Insecta; Megaloptera; Corydalidae.
UACAAUUUAGUAUAUGAUGUACAAAAGUUUUUGAUACUUUUAGAGAUAGUUUAACUCUAUUAUUUGUAA